GGGUGACUAGUGACGGGGGUGACUAGUGAGGGAGGGUGUGACUAGUGACAGAAUGAGGGAGAGGGUGACUAGUGACAGAAUGAGGGAGAGGGUGACUAGUGACAGCAGGAGGGAGAUGGUGACUAGUGACAGAGUGAGGGAGGUGGUGACUGUCACAUCACCCCAUCCCUCCCUCUGUCACUAGUCACUCCCUCCCUAACUCUGUCACUAGUCAUCCCUUCACUCUGUCACUAGUCACCUCCUCCCUCUGUCACUAGUCACCUCCUCCCUCUGUCACUGUCACCCCAUUCCUCCCUCUGUCACUAGUCAUCCCCUCCCUUACUCUGUAACUAGUCA
Pelobates cultripes (western spadefoot toad) is the source of this 336-nucleotide non-coding RNA. The record is from the annotation of a GenBank genome assembly. NCBI's taxonomy places the organism in Eukaryota, Metazoa, Chordata, Amphibia, Anura, Pelobatidae.